Molecule: ribosomal RNA, 318 nt
Filed under: Triticum aestivum (bread wheat)
Lineage: Eukaryota; Viridiplantae; Streptophyta; Magnoliopsida; Poales; Poaceae
Description: partial small subunit ribosomal RNA
Source: RNAcentral
AUGGGAAAAGGGGCAACAAACAUUCAAGACACAACAAACAUCAGCAACCAAAGAAUGCAUGACACAGAUAAUUCUCUCGUGAGAAGAAGAAAGAAAAGCAAGCGAGGAUCUCACGAGUGUGUGUGUGUGAGUGAGGGGAGGGAAACAGUCACUACUACCUCCUAUCCUGGGGCAGCAGCUGGGACCAAUGUGAAAUCAACACACUCCACUCUAGAUUAUACUACUACUGUACUAUGUCCAAGACCAUGUGCAAUUGUCCAGCACCAGCUAUACAGUAGAGUCACAGACCAAAAGGAAAUUCCCAUGACAAAUUACUAA